UAGGGAAUCUUCGGCAAUGGGGGCAACCCUGACCGAGCAACGCCGCGUGAGUGAAGAAGGUUUUCGGAUCGUAAAGCUCUGUUAUAAGUCAAGAACGAGUGUGAGAGUGGAAAGUUCACACUGUGACGGUAGCUUACCAGAAAGGGACGGCUAACUACGUGCCAGCAGCCGCGGUAAUACGUAGGUCCCGAGCGUUGUCCGGAUUUAUUGGGCGUAAAGCGAGCGCAGGCGGUUUGAUAAGUCUGAAGUUAAAGGCUGUGGCUCAACCAUAGUUCGCUUUGGAAACUGUCAAACUUGAGUGCAGAAGGGGAGAGUGGAAUUCCAUGUGUAGCGGUGAAAUGCGUAGAUAUAUGGAGGAACACCGGUGGCGAAAGCGGCUCUCUGGUCUGUAACUGACGCUGAGGCUCGAAAGCGUGGGGAGCGAACAGGAUUAGAUACCCUGGUAGUCCACGCCGUAAACGAUGAGUGCUAGGUGUUGGAUCCUUUCCGGGAUUCAGUGCCGCAGCUAACGCAUUAAGCACUCCGCCUGGGGAGUACGACCGCAAGGUUG
This 550-nucleotide ribosomal RNA is filed under the name uncultured bacterium. RNAcentral's name for it is "bacterial SSU rRNA". It matches the Rfam family "Bacterial small subunit ribosomal RNA", at positions 355 to 896 of the family's 1533-position model. The record is from RNAcentral.